GGAAAUAUUACUAAUUCAUGGAUUUUUACCCGUAAACAUGCUCAAGUAUUGAAUUAGUAUUGCAAGAUCAUAUGAAAUGAACUGAAAUCUUUCUAUUUAAGAUGCCAACAAAAAUAAGACCAAUCCGAGAUUUUCAUCAAUGUAUGCGUUAUAGAAAAUUGUCAAGAAUUUAUUUCACUUGGAUAAAAGUGAAAAUCACAUAUAUCAAAAGGGAAGUCCCAAAUCGUUGAUCAAAUAACUUCGUCCACCUUUGACAAUUAGUCUCUUAUCGCGGCACGCAGAGACCUAAUUCUGAAAAAAGAGAGAAUCAAUACAUAAGCAAAUGAUGACUUUCAAGGCAAUUCCAAAGCAAAAUACUCCACACACAACUAAUCGACUAAAUGAAAGAAAAAAAAUUCUAUUGAGUGAAUAAUCGAUCCCAUUCCUACGAGCCACUUGAUUAUUGAGUGAAUAUCUAUUGUUCCACAUUGAUUUUCAUACAUUAUGUUGAUAAAAAGCAAAUUGUUUCAAGAAAUUCAGCAGAGAAAUAAAUGUAAGGAACCAUACAAAAAACAAGCCUGCUUGGAAGUUUUAGGGUACUGGUUUUGGGUGUAUGUGAGGGGUCCGAUUAGGGGUGAUUUUUAGUCGCGAUUUUUAAAACAAUCCAACCCAUGUUUGAAAGUUUAUUAUCCGGUGGUUUUUAGUACCCAUGCUAGAAACUUCACAAGUUCAACCUGAAAUUUACCUCCUAGUCCCAUGGUGUCCCAAUGCUAUAACGUUCUUGCCCUAUUUCUGGAUUUUAUGUAUUUUCUAUGUUCGAUUUAUCAAGAUUAUUGUGACCUUUUUGUUUCAUUUUUGUAUACUGGUAAUUGGUUUAGUAUAAUAAUAUCUUAAUUUAAUGAAAUUCAGCAUUGGGCAUGCAUAAUUUAGCAUUUGGCACUAAUUUUGAAUAUGGGUUGCUUUGGCAGGUUAAUUUGCUGAUAUCUGUGUUUGAUUUUAUGAGAAGUGAAUUUUCUGUAACUUGGAUCUGGCCUUGUGUAAUUUCAAUUUGGAAAUAACUGUUUUAGAGGAUAAAAUUGGAAGAAAAAUGGAGAAAGGGGGUUUAGAAGUACCACCCAAAUUACUCUACACUGAUCCCAAAAACUAGAAAGUACUGAUUUUUUCAACCUUUCAUAAACAAUGCAACUGAAAAAU
RNAcentral lists this long non-coding RNA (1173 nucleotides) under Olea europaea subsp. europaea. Lineage: Eukaryota; Viridiplantae; Streptophyta; Magnoliopsida; Lamiales; Oleaceae. The record is from RNAcentral.